UUUAAAUCUCCAAAAGAAAUGUUACAGGGUGCGGCCAAGAGGGGGGACCUCAAAUGGGCAUUUGAAAUGGGGUCCAGAACUCAAGGUGUCCAGGAGAUUUUAGGA
Long non-coding RNA from Phyllostomus discolor (pale spear-nosed bat), 105 nucleotides. RefSeq lists it as uncharacterized. The transcript is spliced from 3 exons. Lineage: Eukaryota; Metazoa; Chordata; Mammalia; Chiroptera; Phyllostomidae. The record is from RefSeq and is a predicted model, not a curated record.